Molecule: long non-coding RNA, 1195 nt
Organism: Helianthus annuus (common sunflower)
Lineage: Eukaryota; Viridiplantae; Streptophyta; Magnoliopsida; Asterales; Asteraceae
Exons: 3
Source: RefSeq, a predicted model, not a curated record
AAACAAAAUAUCAAAUAAAAUAAAUACUGAAGCGGUCUCAUUGCCACCAACCAAAGCCGCCUCUUUCAAACCCUAAUCCCCUGUUUCCUUUCAUAAGCAUGAGCUUCAUCAUGGUCAUCGUUUCUGGUCCUGUAUAUACACUUUCAUGAGGAGGUUAAGAAAAUAAGAACUAGGGUUUAUCUCCUUGAUUAAUGAGGAGGUUAAGAAAAUAAGAACUAGGGUUUAUCUCCUUGAUUAAUGUAAUGCUUUAUCUAUCUCAAGGUUUUGAUGCACAAUAUUAUGGAGAUCUGGUUUCAGUUUUGUUUAGUAAACCUUUAUGUCACAAUCUUAGGGCUGCAAACGAACCGAACUGAGCUGAGCAUCGAACUUGUUCAUGAACAUCGUUGCACAAACACAUAUCGAACUUAAAUUCCUGUUCGUGUUUGUUCAUUGAGGAAUUGAACUUGUUCACGAACACUAGCAAACACAUACGGUUAUUAAAAAAAAACCAACAUUCUUAAUCCCAAAUAUUAGACGCAGUCACCUUGUUAAGCACUUGAUGUAAUAAUCAUAAACAUAAUUAUCCCAAAACAAUGUUUCAAGGAUCUAAGUUUCUAUACGUGCAAUGGAGUAUUUGAGAACAGUCAUUCUAAAUUUGGAUGAACAAGUGAUUAUAUAUGCUCCUAAAGUAAUUUGUUGGCUUCUGAUGACUGUACAUGGAGAGACUAUUGUGCGGACAGAUACGGGCCAUACAAUUUUUCGGCGGAUUGCGUGAUUCGUCUCUUGACUCCUGCAAUCGAGGCUGAAGAAGAAUAACAACUCAGUUUAAAAGACUGAGGCUGAGGCAGUUGAGACAAUCUGGAAAACACGUAAAGAGGUCAUCAACAUGUAGACAGAAUUACCAAGAUGUACAGUGGUGGAUCCAGAAUUCUUUUUCACCGGUUCUUUUGGUAGAUUCUUACAAGUUCUCGCUAAUUUUUUCCAAAUCAUACAAGGUUUCCACUAAUUUUUCCACUUUUUCUAAACCAAACCCCCAAAAACCCCUUGGAUCCGCCCCUGAAGAUGUAGAUGCAAAAAAUAUUUUUGGUCUUAGACCGAAUGCAAGGUGUAUAAGACCAUAGUGUGUAAAUGAAUCGAGUUGCUCGUGAAGUACUUGAGAGACUAGUCGUUAAAAAUUAAAAUUAAAGCAAUGUUAACUAAUUUUUAUUUGACCUCA